Cavia porcellus (domestic guinea pig) is the source of this 98-nucleotide small nuclear RNA. NCBI's taxonomy places the organism in Eukaryota, Metazoa, Chordata, Mammalia, Rodentia, Caviidae. The record is from Ensembl.
GUCCUCAUUUCGACAGCACAUAUCCUAAAAUUGGAAUAAGACUGUCAUGGUCCCUCCCCAAGGAUGACAUGCAAAUUCAUGAAAUAGUCCCUACUUUU